This is a non-coding RNA of Callorhinus ursinus (northern fur seal), 112 nucleotides long. NCBI's taxonomy places the organism in Eukaryota, Metazoa, Chordata, Mammalia, Carnivora, Otariidae. The record is from RefSeq and is a predicted model, not a curated record.
GCAGUGGGCUGGGGCAGACAUCUGGUCUGACUACAGGCCCUGACCACCAACUAAAACUUAUCAGAGGACAACACAGGAAGAGUGCCCUGCAGUUCAGUGCUACUUAAUCUCU